Chelonia mydas (Green sea turtle) is the source of this 5510-nucleotide long non-coding RNA. RefSeq lists it as uncharacterized. The record is from RefSeq and is a predicted model, not a curated record. The transcript is spliced from 2 exons. Lineage: Eukaryota; Metazoa; Chordata; Testudines; Cheloniidae.
ACAGAGCAGUAUAAACAAAUAAUUGUCUGUGAAAUUUUAGUUUGUACUGACUUCGCUAGUGCUUUUUAUGUAGCCUGUUGUAAAACUAGGCAAAUAUCUAGAUGAACUGAUGUAACCCGGAAGACCUCCUGGCUGAGAACCACUGCUCUAAUCAUCUGGUCAUUACAAAAUGUAUCUUCACCCAGCAUCCUAGAUGUUUGUACACAUGGAAGUCAGCUGAUGGUAAGACAAAGAACUAAAUAAGCUGUUUAAUGAUACAGCAACACUGAGUGUGGGCUGUGGGUCAGAUUAUCAGCUAUUAGCCUCAAACAUAAAAUUAAAACUACAAAAGACACUUCUUAACCAACCUCAGAUAUGCUGAUGGUAUGAUACUCUUUGCUACAAUCACCAAUGCAAUGAAACAAAUGUAAAAAGAAUUAGUAAGGAAUACAGACUAUUCCUGAAUGCAACAAAAACAAAAUUAUGUACAUUGACAUGAUGACUAAGAAAAACAGGAUGGAAGCAGACAUCUUGAUUAACACAAAGCUGCAGCGGCAGCAGAUUAAUUUAAUUAACUGAGAUCAUAUAUAUCCAGCCAACGAGGCUGUUCCAAAGAAAUCAGAAGACAACCAGGGAUCACUUGCUCAGCUAUGGCCUCCCUUAAGAAAGUAUUGAAAAACUGUGGCAUCUUGAAAUGUACAAAAGUGUGACUAGUGAAAAACCUUAAUUUAUUCCAUAGCGAUUUGGGUGUGAAUCAUGGAAAGUUAAUAUUGCUGAUAGGAAGAAAAUAAAAGCUUUGAAAAUGUGGUACUGGGAAAGACUCUUGUAUAUCUCCUGGAUGGGAAAAAAGAUGAAUGCAGAUGUUAGAAGUAUUACUGGAGAAAAGCAGACCCUGAUGUUGGAAAUUAACAUGCAAUCUUAUGUAUUUUGGUCUUAUUAAGCAUAGAGAUGGAAAUAACCUUGAGAAAAAAUUAAGGGAGGAAUGGUGGAGGAUCAUCAUAGCAUGGGACAACCAGUGAGGAAAUGGUGGAUGGUUUGUGGCUGAUCAUGGGAAGGUCAGCUACUGAGUGCUCAAAAUUAGUGCUGGACCAUGAAGGUUUAAGGCAGGACUAGUCAAUAGGUGGAUCACCAGCAGGGUUGCCAGUCCUCCAGAUUAAUCUUUAAUUAAAGACUGUCAUGUGAUGAAAUCUCUAGGAAUAUACCCAACCAAAACUGGCAACCCUAACUGCCUGCCACUUUUGAACAGAUCCUGGAAUCUUUUUAUCUACGUGCCAUCAUUAUUAUUGUUGUUUUUAUUAUUUUCUCUGAAGCCUGGACCUUGACCAAGAAAUUUGGACCUUGACAAAAAAUAAAUUGACUACCCCUAGCUUAAGGAAAUCCUGCUACGAUGUCAUUGAUAUUCAGACAUGAAUAAAUCGGUUUACUUAUUAGUGUAACUGUCUGAAUGUUUACCAUUCAACCCAAGUUUCUCCUUUCUUCAUUUGAUCCUGUUUCUCCUAGUGCCACCCUAUCAAGGUAAUGGGACUUUGUUCAUUCCACUGUAGGCCAUCUGUAAACAGGAGGUAUUCCAGAACCACUUCUUAAGACAUGCAACGAUCUUGCACAAGAUGACGACUUUGGAAAUCACCACUGAGAACUGCAAACUGGGAUGAUCUAUCAGCAACAAUGGAAAAGAGCCACUGUUGAAUUGUGUCUCAAUAACUCAAAUAUUUAAUUGGAUUAUUUUACAUAAUAUAUGAGAGGUGUAGGGUAACUAUCUAAGAAAUGAACUAAGAACUGAUUUAAGCUUUGCCACAGACUUCUUAUGGCAUUUAACUGCUCUAACUUUCCUUAUCUACAAUGACAGGUUUCAGAGUAACAGCCGUGUUAGUCCGAUGAAGUGAGCUGUAGCUCACGAAAGCUUAUGCUCAAAUAAAUUGGUUAGUCUCCAAGGUGCCACAAGUACUCCUUAUCUACAAUGGUGAUAAUACCUCUCAGAGGUUUUCCAGUUUACUUCAGUGCUAUUGAAUUAGAUCAUAAACAUCAUGAAAUAAGCCACAGGGUGGCAGUGUUUUAUAGUUUGAGAGCUAUCACUACGCUUUAUAGUUUAGCUUCCAAGGAUAAUUUCAACAAGGAGCCCUGAAUUUUGUCUAGCAUUAAAUAGUCCCUGGGACAAACUGAAUACCCCCAAUUACAUUUCUCCUCUCCCCCAACAAUAUUUAUUUCAGCUUAUGAAAGGUUAAAAAAGGAUCCUAAAACUGGGCACUCGUGAUACAGUUUACAAAAUCAUUAGUUGCUAAUUCCACAACAGCAUAACAACUCAACUUCAUAUAAACUCAGAGAACUCUCCAGCCUUCUCUUUUGCAAAACCACACACACACACACCCCCCUCUCCUUAGAGAACUGAAAUGUCUCAUUUAUCUCCUUUAUGCAUAGUUAUACAUGCUGGAGCACUUGUCCUUCAUUAACGUUACAGACAAUGAUGUUACCAAUUCAUGAUUUUGUUGAUGGUCUUAUGAUAUUGUUUGCUGGUUUGGCUGAUUUUGUUCCUGGUUUUAUGAUAUUUUGGUGCUCCUCUUAAAGCCCCAGGGCCUUGAAUCAUGAUUACACAAGACAGCUUUCAUUUAAAAGCAAAGGUAGUUUCUAGCCCUCAUGGCUACAGAGAAACGCUUGAAUACACAAACCCUAAAAACCUCAAAAAUCCAGAAGGCAAGUAAAGUACCCCCAAUUUUUUUUUUUUUUUUUUUAAAUCUCAUGAGUUUGGGGGGAGAGGGGUCUGACUCAUGUUUUUUGAACGCUUGAAGUUCACAAUAUUAUAACAGCUGUGAACUUUCUUAUUUUGUUUUUUUAUCCAACCUAAUACACCUGAAUGAUAAUAACCCAUUAGCUCAUAGAAAUAUCAUUUGUUGCCUGUAGCACUCACUGUAAGCAGUGACAUAACUGCAUAACAAAACAUGACUCGUGAAUAUGUUGGAAUUGUAUCAUGAUCACUCUGCUUACACAGAAUCUUGGAUUGAGCAAAAUCAAUUCAAACAAAACUAUGAAGUUUAAGAUGCGUUUUAGACAGACCCAUUUUGAAAAUAUAUUUUCUUUUAAACAUUCUAAACUAUGAAUAAUAUAGUAGAGAUCAUUUAUUACAAUUCAGGAUACUGCACCUUAAAAAAAAAGUUAGAGUGGGAAUUUUUCUCCAGAAUCUAAAAAUUAAAUCUUGGGUUUAAUGAUUUUUUUUUUUAAACAGUUCCCCAGAAUUCAUGUGGGCCCUCCCCAGAUUUAGACUUUCUAGCUGCAGAACUAUUCAGCUAGCUGAGGGUACACGAGUUAAACAAGAAAAUACACCAAACUAUUUUUGACACAGAGCUGUUCUUCAGGUCUGUGAAGGACACUCAGGCCUGGUCUACACUACAGAGUUAGGUUAACGCAAGAAAGCUUCCACUGACCUAACUCUGUAAGCGUCUACACUAAAACGUCGCUCCUGCCGAUGUAUUUUGCCCACUAUGCCAACUUAACUCCACCCCUGCAAGAGGCGUAGCUCUUAGGUUUACAUAGUUAGGGCGACAGUAUCAGUGCAGACACUGUGUUAGUUAGACUUUAGUGGCUUCCAGGUGGUGUCCCACAAUGACCCAUGUGACCGCUCUUGUCACUGUUUUGAACUCCACUGCCCUGUGGCCAGAUAUGCAGGAUUACACAGGAAGUGGUGUAUCUCCUGGGUCUGUGAGAAGAAGCAGCUGUGCAGGAACAGCUCUGAUCCAAAUGCAGAAACGUCAAUAUCUACGAGCAGAUCGUUCAGGACACGGAGGAGACAGGCUACAACAGGCACACACAGUGGUGCUGCGUGAAAGUCAAAGAGCUGCAGCAGGCAUACCAGAAGACAAGGGAGGCUAACAGUCGCUCGGGUGCACAGCUGCAGACAUGCCACUUUUACAAGGAGCUGCAUGCCAUCCUCUGAAGCAACACCCCCCCCGCCAGUCCCCUCCCAAGGGCCCUGUGGAUACUUUGGAGGACUCAGUCACGGGCCACCAGAGUGAGCCCUGAGGAUGUGUUUGACUCCAGAGCAGUCAAGCCAGUCCCUAGAGUCCAGCACAGGCGAGCCUGAUGAAGGGGAAGGAACCUCUGGUUAAGUAUGUACUUUGCUUUGAUCUUGCAGGGGCACAUCUGUUCAUUUACUCUUUUUUUAAUCAGGCAAGAAGAGGCAGUGAAGUAACCGAUAGCAACUCCACCUCUAUCUGCUUCUCAUUCCUCCAUACAGAGGGGUGCCUGAAGAAUGAUUUGUGUGCACCGGGAUGUCCUGUGAACCCUCCAGAGAGAUUUUGAGGAAACUUUCCUGAAGGUAGUCUGCAAUCUUCUGCUGAAAGUUUCUAGGGAUAGCCGCCUUAUUUCUUCCACCACGGUAGGACACUUUCCCAUACCAUUCAGCAAUUCCUUCAGCAGGCACCACUGCAACACACUGGCAAGCAGCAUAUAUGGACGUGGUCUGCAGUCAGAUGCAUGCAGGAGUAGUUCCUUUUCAGCCUCCAUUACCCGCAAGAGUGAGAGAUCAGCUAAAAUCACCACUGUCUAUGGAAAACGAUGCCAGAAUUCAGUUCAAUUGCCCUAUCCACAUUUACCCCUUUCUCCCCCGGGCUGUACUCACCAUGGUUAGGACUGCUGCCAUGCUCUAUGAAUCCCAAGCAGAAGUGAUAAUGUAGUGCUUGUAACUUGUAUAGAUCAAGGGUAGUGAAUACUUUCACAAUAGGACCUCUGUGCACUGUAUUUUUUGCAGCUGGAAAUGUAGUCUUGAGGGUCUCUCCAGUCACACCAGCGGAGCAACUCAGUCAGAUAAGGAGAAGAAAGAGGAUGCGGGACAAUAUGUUCCAAGAGAUCCUGCAAGCCUUUGGUGCUGCAGACACUAAGCAGAGGGCUCGCAGGAUCAUGCUUACGGACAGAACGUACAGGCAUAAAUGUACAUGUGCACAGGAGAAAAGGAAAAGGAGAGUGACACGCAGCAGGAGAUGCUAGAGCUUUUCAAGUGGCAAUCAGAUAUGCUGGACAGUCUUGUUGACCUUCAGGUUCAACAGAUCCUUGCUUGCCUCCCUCUGCAGCCCAUAUAGACCUGCAUUACGGAACCUCCCCACACCCCCUGCAUUCCAGGUGGCAAUUGGGGCCCCUGCACUACCCCUACCACUCCACCACAGGGGAGAGUACAGACAAUCAUGGCCAUAUAUACCAACUGUGUCUCUGUAGGUCUUUGAGAAAUGAAAAUGACUGUUCUUUCCCCUUCAAAGGUUCUUUUCCCUGUAUUUAUCAAGUUUCAUUCAGUUAUAAAUAUAUGUUUGUUUACAUGUGUUUGGAAUAAAAAAGUCUAUUUAUGGAAACUUAAUUCAUCUUUAUUAGUUCACAACAUAUGCUGGCUGGGGCUGACAUCAUUCACAGAUAAUAUCAAUAGGUGCAUCUGCUAUGUUAUAUUACUACACACACACACACCACUCAUUACAAGGUUCAUAUUGGGGUGCAGACUCCCGCCCCUUUUCCCCCAUGCCAGGCACAUCACACAAUAGCAACACACAUUACUGUGA